UCUGUCUUACGACAGCAGUCUCGUGUGACACUUAUAACACACGAUAGGGGUUGCGCUCGUUAAUCCACUUAAGGAGACCACUCACGUGACGAGCUGACGACAGCCGUGCAGCACCUGUCCAGAACCCUCGAAGGCUGUCAUGUUUCCAUGACAUGCAUCUGGAUUUCAAACCCUGGUGAGGUUUCUCGGUUAGAGUCGAAUUAAACCGCAUGAUCCACUGCUUGUGCAAGUUCCCGCCUAUUUCUUUGAGUUUUAAGCUUGCGCUCGUACUUCCCAGGCGGCAGACUUAACGCGUUAGCUUCACCACUGGAAGGGUCGAUGCUCCCAAUAGCUAGUCUGCAUAGUUUAGGGCGUGGACUA
RNAcentral lists this unclassified non-coding RNA (360 nucleotides) under uncultured bacterium. RNAcentral's name for it is "contains 16S-23S intergenic spacer region". The record is from RNAcentral.